Monopterus albus (swamp eel) is the source of this 313-nucleotide long non-coding RNA. RefSeq lists it as uncharacterized. NCBI's taxonomy places the organism in Eukaryota, Metazoa, Chordata, Actinopteri, Synbranchiformes, Synbranchidae. The record is from RefSeq and is a predicted model, not a curated record. The transcript has 3 exons.
GAAGAGGUGGAGAAGAGCUACGACCCGAACGAUGCCACCCUGAAAUUUGUCGACAGGGAGGACGACAUAGAUCCGUUAUCUGACAGCUGCCUCAGAGCAGAGAUGUCCUGCGGUCACGCCGUCACUCCUGAAUCUCUAACGUCGUGGUGUCGCAGCCUGCUAAAGCAGGGGAAGUAUGAAUUCAGAUGCCCCGCAUUAGUAGAUGGAACCAAACAGUGCAAUGAGCUGUGGCCGUACAAAGAGGUGCGCAGACUGGCUGAUCUGUCUGUGAAGGAAAUGCAGGAGUUUGAAGAGUCCAUGGCCCGACUGGCUG